RNAcentral lists this ribosomal RNA (465 nucleotides) under uncultured bacterium. RNAcentral describes it as "partial 16S ribosomal RNA". It matches the Rfam family "Bacterial small subunit ribosomal RNA", at positions 28 to 507 of the family's 1533-position model. The record is from RNAcentral.
GACGAACGCUGGCGGCGUGCUUAACACAUGCAAGUCGAACGGAAAGGCCCUGCUUGCAGGGUACUCGAGUGGCGAACGGGUGAGUAACACGUGUGUGAUCUGCCCUGCACUUCGGGAUAAGCCUGGUAAACUGGGUCUAAUACCGGAUAGGAGCCAUUUUUAGUGUGAUGGUUGGAAAGUUUUUUGGGUGUAGGAUGAGCGCGCGGCCUAUCAGCUUGUUGGUGGGGUAAUGGCCUACCAAGGCGGCGACGGGUAGCCGGCCUGAGAGGGUGGGCGGCCACAUUGGGACUGGGAUACGGCCCAGACUCCUACGGGAGGCAGCAGUGGGGAAUAUUGCACAAUGGGCGCAAGCCUGAUGCAGCGACGCCGCGUGGGGGAUGACGGCCUUCGGGUUGUAAACUCCUUUCGCUAGGGACGAAGCUUUUUGUGACGGUACCUAGAUAAGAAGCACCGGCUAACUACGUG